RNAcentral lists this ribosomal RNA (451 nucleotides) under uncultured soil bacterium. RNAcentral describes it as "bacterial SSU rRNA". It matches the Rfam family "Bacterial small subunit ribosomal RNA", at positions 26 to 486 of the family's 1533-position model. The record is from RNAcentral.
AGGAUAAACGCUGGUGGCGUGCAUGAGACAUGCAAGUCGAACGGACGAUUCGGGCUUGCUCGAAUCGUUAGUGGCGGACGGCUGAGUAACGCGUAGGUGACCUGCCCCGAAGUGGGGAAUAACUGCCCGAAAGGGUGGCUAAUACCGCAUGUGGUCGCACGUUCGGUCGUGCGAGUAAAGCCGCAAGGCGCUUCGGGAGGGGCCUGCGUCCGAUUAGCUCGUUGGUGGGUAAUGGCUCACCAAGGCGACGAUCGGUAGGUGGUCUGAGAGGACGAUCACCCAGACUGGGACUGAGACACCGGCCCAGACUCCGUACGGGAGGCAGCAGUCCGGGGAAUUUUUGGCUUCAAUGGGCGAAAGGCCUGAAGCAGCAACGCCGCGUGAGGAUGAAGGCCUUCGGGUCGUAAACCGUCUUUUUUACCGGGACGUAGUAAUGACGGUACCCGGUGAA